AGAACCAAUUGGUUUCACAGGCAAGCAUGUUGUCCAUGCAGCUCACGCUAUUUUGGAGGGAAAAUACAAUACACACAGAGACCAGACUUUGGAGGAAUGAGGCCGGCCUUCUGUCAUCUUGGGAAAUGGUAAGAAAGAAAUGGUCCUGGAGAAGGCACAGUAUGUCCUGGGCAAAGGUUGGGGAGCUACAUUGAGGACGUGGGCUUGAGCUGGUCCUUUCAGGAAUAGAGCUUAUGAUUUGGAUCCUCAAAACUCUUCAAUCGCAGACCCAGAAACAAGAAUUUAUGAUGAUUAGUUUGCCGAGAGCCAGGAAUUGAGAAACCUGUACUUACUUUGUUGAGAAAUUUUAAUAUCAUCCCAAGUGGCAAAAAUAUGCCCGGAGGAAGCUCUGGGAGGAUAACAGAGUGUUGCUCUCAGGAUAGAGUGUUGAAGUACUUCUUCCUGUUAGAUUUUCCAGAAGGUUAUAUGAGGAUGUGAUGGCAAGAAUAGAGUGGGCUAUUCACCCUGCUCAUGAAUCAAGGUCUCUGACACUUUGGCAUUGAACACACAAGAUGUGGACUGAUUCACAGUCUGAGGUUAGUGUAUUCAUGUGGGAGCUCUCAUCAUGCAUUUUAAGAAGCCUGGACAGGUGUUGGUUUAUGGGAGAUGUUAGGUGUUAGUGUUUAUGGUCAAACUUUUUUAUGCUAAGUAGAACGGACUACAUUGUCAGAUAAGAGCUGACAAUACCCUCCAAUUCUUCUUGCAUGGGAGAGCUUAUGCAUUUCAGGGCUAGGUGAAUUGCAAUAGGGAGGGAGGAAUAUGCUUAAUGAUGGUGAUUGGGAACAGGGAUCUAGCUGAGGAGCCCAGCCUGAAGAUAGCUUUCCUGCUCUUUCAGGGAUUCUCUGUGACUCUAGAUUUUCCUCUUCCUGAGACUUCUGUGUGGGACAAAGCAUGUUGUCUCCAUUCCCUGCCCUAUUAUCUCUACGAGUUUACUAGUGUUGGUCAACCUACAUGGUCUGUUGGAAAGGCAUCACCCCAAGCCUCCACCACCAAUAAGCAGGAUCAGAGAAUGAAGAGGAUGGAGAAGCUCAAAAGGGAUCUCCAGAAGAUCAAAAAUGGGAGAGACAACUCCAGGGAAUCCUAGUCAAUUACACUAACAAGGAUUUGAACAACAGAUGUGCCAUCACAGGUCUAUAAGGAUGACAAACAGAACUCUCCAGUGGAAUGGGAACACUCUGGCCGUACAGUCUUAUUCUGACAAAGGCUCGAGAAUUCAAGAUUACGAACCAUAAAACUAGAGCAAAUCUGUGUGUAGGACACUAUUGGCUCAUCAAGCCUGGGAUGCACCAGGGCAUACAGUAGGCACAUAUUUGUUGUAAGGAAUCCCUACAGGAAUGAGAAGACAUGAUGAAGACGCCAAGAUCAUCCCUCUAAAAAUAAGAACUGAGAAUGUUAACUCGUCAA
RNAcentral lists this long non-coding RNA (1443 nucleotides) under Mus musculus (house mouse). RNAcentral's name for it is "predicted gene, 41138". The record is from RNAcentral. Lineage: Eukaryota; Metazoa; Chordata; Mammalia; Rodentia; Muridae.